RNAcentral lists this small RNA (189 nucleotides) under Carnobacterium divergens. Its description in RNAcentral is "rli28". It matches the Rfam family "Listeria sRNA rli28". The record is from RNAcentral. Lineage: Bacteria; Bacillati; Bacillota; Bacilli; Lactobacillales; Carnobacteriaceae.
UUUGGUGUGGUAUAAUAGCACAUGUAGAAAGUGCGAAAGAUGGUGGCUAAAUCUCUUGAAAAAGGGGUGAUGCCUAUGUAUUUAAUUAGGUUUACUCCUAGAAAGGAAUAGACUUGACUUGACUGUUUUUGAAGCGUUGAGCCUAAUGAUUGCGUUUGCGACAUUGGUUCUACUACUAAAAAACGAUAA